UGCAUCUGGUCUUAUGAGGUAAGUGAUUCACCAGACCAGACCAGACCAUCUUCUUCCAUUGCUCCAUGAUGCAGGUCUGAUGCCCAGGUGACAGGUGUAGGUGCUUUCGGUGAUUGAUACGCAGCAGCCCGUGAUGCUCUGUGUGUUCCGACACCUUUUUAUCUGCCAGCAUGAACUAUUUUAUCAAUUUGUGCUACAGUAGCUCUUCCAUGGGAAUAGAUAGAAGGGCUAGCCUUACUGAGUCUUGUGCGCUCAUGACAAUGUUGACAAUGUACCCACUGCAGUACCACAACACACCACAGGACCUGAGGUUUCGGAGACGCACUGACCACGUUAGCUGGCCAUCACUAUUUGGCUCGUGCCAGUGUUGCUUAUUGCCUUUCACUUGCUCAUUUUUCUGCUUCUAACACAUCAACUUCAAGAACUGAUUGUUCACUUGCUGCCUAAUAAAUCUCAACUCUUUAGAGGUACCAGUCUAAGAAGAUCAUCUAUAUUAUUGAUUCACAUUAUUUAUUUGGCAAAUUGCUGUGGUAUAAAAUUAACUUUGGGGUGUGCUGCUAUUGAAAAGAACUAAUCUUUAGCAUAACCCCACCUAGUCAUUGAUUAUUCUCCUUUAACAGAAUGCCCUUUGAGUUCCAUUCCUUAAAUGCUUCAAGAAGGUUAUACAAAUCCUCACUACGCUACACACUGAAGUUUUGUUGUAUAAUUGUCUUAGACAAAUGUUAACAAUACAAGAAUUCAACAAAAACCCUUUUAUUUAAAUUUACAAUACAGCAACAAUCUAUUUACACAUGCAGAUUUAUAGAACAUAAAUAUCAUACAAUUACCUGCAUACAAACUGCUACAUAUGUACAAUAUGAAAAGCAAACAUGCUGGUAUUUCUGCAAGUGAAAAAGUAAAAUAAUUGUUUAAUAGAAUUUCUUCUAUUUUCUAACCCAAAUGUAUGAAAUAAUUUAAUUUAAUAUUAAGGUUCAACAUUUGCUUUUUUUUUAGUUUUGCACUGGAGCUCCAAGUCUAAUAUACACAAAUUCAAAAAGGUUUUUGUGGAAACCUGAUCAUAAGAUUUGUAUGUGCUUUUUGAACAUCCCUUUCCAUGUUUGUUGCUCAUUUGCUGUUAUAAGCCUCCACUCUUCUGGGAAGAUGUUCCACUAGAUUUUGAAAUGUGAUCGUGGAGAUCUUUUCCACAAGAGUGUUAUUAAUGUCAGGUACUGAUGUAUUUUAUCCCAAAGGUGUUUAAUAAGGCUGAGGUCCGAACUCUAUGGCAGACCAGUAAAGAUAUGAACAGGUUUGAGUAUCCUAGUUCAAGUGAAGGGAAAAUUCAGUACCACAUUGAAAGGUAUUUUAUACAACCGCAUGCCUCCAGAUUUGUAACCGUUUGGGAAAGAACCACAUAUGGCUGGAAAAGUUAGAUGUUCCAAUAGUUUUGUGCAUAUAGUGUAGCUAUCUACAGUAUUACCUAACAUUUUCAGAAUGGCCAAAGCUUAUAUAUUGUAUAAUUGUUUCAAUAAAAUUUAGUAAUUGUUCAAAUACAUACCUCACAAAGAUGUUUAAAAAUAAUUAAUAUUUACAGAUUUUACAGAUUAUUUGAAAUUUGACAAAUGUUCAGCAUUUUUCUGGUUGCCAUGGUUUAAAUGGUCCUUCUUUUGUCUUCUUAGAGGAAAAAGUAGCUGCAAGUCAAUAUAAAAGUUGUAACUGGUCACCUUUAUCCUUGAAUGAAACAUUUCUGUCCUAAUGGGAUUGGUCUCUACCGAGACAACUUCAGCCUGAUCCACAGACCUGAAAAGCUCACUGAGUACUUUAAUGAUGAUGAAAAUUAUGUGAAUUAUAUGCUAUGGCCUUCACACUCACUUAAUCUCAACCCGUCUGAAUACCUGUGGGAGAUUUUGGAGCGACGUGUUGGUGGACAGUGCUCACUAUCUUCAAAACACCAACUGAAAGAAUAUCUUUUGGAUGAAUAGUGUCUGUCCCUCCAGUACACUUCCAGACACUUGUAGAAACCCCCUAAAGCACAGUGUAACUGUCCUUAUGACUCAUGAUGAGCCAAACCCUUACAAAAAGACUUUGAUAUUUUUAUUCAUUUGUCACCGUCUUUAUAUUAUGAUCAACUUUGGAAGGCUGAGUCUAAAGAGGUAAAAUGUACCAAAUUUGCACCAAGGAAAAUAAAUGUUUCUGGUUGUCUAAGAUGAAAGUUUGCACCGUGUCCCAAACUACGUCAACAAGUCUAUUCAUAUUAAUUGAAAACUGCAUGGGCUAUGAUGGAUGCUGCAUAUAUGUGAAAGGUAACUACAACAGCCUCAUUGCUCCUGUGCAAAACUAAAACAAAAAAGCAAAUGUCUUGGAUGAACCAUUACAUUUCAGGUCCGAAAAAAUUCUGAAAUCGUUUAGAAACCUGUGAUUGGCUUCAAUGUAUAAAGAAGUUUCUCCGGGGAAGAUGAGGUUAAUACAGGGCUCCUUAUUGCUGGUCAUAAUUUGAAAUACAAAUACUGACUUGGCCCCAAGUCAGAUACACAUCCAAUACAGCUGAGCUGUUGUUACAGGAAGUCUGUGUGCUCUAGUCUCAAGUUUCUUGGUUGCUGAUUAAUUUGCUGUGCUACACACACACACACACACACACACACACACA
Long non-coding RNA from Silurus meridionalis, 2623 nucleotides. RefSeq lists it as uncharacterized. Lineage: Eukaryota; Metazoa; Chordata; Actinopteri; Siluriformes; Siluridae. The record is from RefSeq and is a predicted model, not a curated record. The transcript is spliced from 3 exons.